RNAcentral lists this non-coding RNA (29 nucleotides) under Homo sapiens (human). The record is from RNAcentral. Lineage: Eukaryota; Metazoa; Chordata; Mammalia; Primates; Hominidae.
UGGUGAUCAUAUCGGAGGAUUUGGAAAAA